Non-coding RNA from Cinara cedri, 428 nucleotides. NCBI's taxonomy places the organism in Eukaryota, Metazoa, Arthropoda, Insecta, Hemiptera, Aphididae. The record is from the annotation of a GenBank genome assembly.
AUUUUAUUGUACACAAUUUUAUUAUCUCGUAGAUAAUAAAUCAAAUAUUAGUAUGCAAAUACUCAUAUUACCGGUCAGUAAAAAAAAACGGUUUAUAUCAGUAUUAAAAAAAGGUUUUAUCAUGAACUCAUUAACGGCUCUUAUCAGUACCUGCCUACCGGGAAUAAACGACACAGUUACCUUAUUCUUAAUAGAGAUAGUUACUUUAAAAUAUAUACCUAGGUUUUAAAUUUUUAAUAAUUUAAUGUGGACAUAACAAUAUUAUAUAUUUCAUCAUUUUCUCAAAUUUAUAGUAGUCAUCAGUCACAGUUAGCUGUUAACAACUGCUAAAAAUCAAUUAUCAAUCUAUAUUAAGAUAGAGUAGAUAAGUAUGUCAUUUAUUUCAAGUAGGUUUAUUGAUAUAAAUAGUUCUUUUUAUACUGUCUGGU